Molecule: ribosomal RNA, 253 nt
Filed under: uncultured bacterium
Lineage: Bacteria
Description: partial 16S ribosomal RNA
Rfam family: Bacterial small subunit ribosomal RNA
Source: RNAcentral
UACGUAGGGUCCGAGCGUUGUCCGGAAUUACUGGGCGUAAAGGGCGCGUAGGCGGUCCUGAUCGUCGGAUGUGAAAGGCCUGGGCUCAACCUGGGAAUGGCAUCCGAUACGGCGGGACUGGAGUGUGGGAGAGGUUGGUGGAAUUCCCAGUGUAGAGGUGAAAUUCGUAGAUAUUGGGAAGAACACCGGUGGCGAAGGCGGCCAACUGGACCACAACUGACGCUGAGGCGCGAAAGCGUGGGGAGCAAACAGG